UACAGAGGGUGCGAGCGUUGUCCGGAAUUACUGGGCGUAAAGGGCGCGUAGGCGGCCUGAUCAGUCGGGGGUGAAAUUCAGCGGCUCAACCGCUGGACUGCCUUCGAGACUGUCGGGCUCGAGCACGGUAGAGGCUGGUGGAAUUCCCGGUGUAGCGGUGGAAUGCGUAGAGAUCGGGAAGAACAUCGGUGGCGAAGGCGGCCAGCUGGGCCGUUGCUGACGCUGAGGCGCGACAGCGUGGGGAGCAAACAGG
RNAcentral lists this ribosomal RNA (253 nucleotides) under uncultured bacterium. RNAcentral describes it as "partial 16S ribosomal RNA". It matches the Rfam family "Bacterial small subunit ribosomal RNA", at positions 524 to 776 of the family's 1533-position model. The record is from RNAcentral.